UACGUGAGGGGCAAGCGUUGUCCGGAUUUAUUGGGCGUAAAGCGCGUGUAGGCGGCUUGGCAAGUCCGCUGUGAAAACUCGAGGCUCAACCUCGAGAUGUCGGUGGAAACUGCCUGGCUAGAGUCCGGAAGAGGAGUGUGGAAUUCCUGGUGUAGCGGUGAAAUGCGCAGAUAUCAGGAAGAACACCUAUGGCGAAGGCAGCACUCUGGGACGGUACUGACGCUGAGACGCGAAAGCGUGGGGAGCGAACAGG
RNAcentral lists this ribosomal RNA (253 nucleotides) under uncultured bacterium. RNAcentral describes it as "partial 16S ribosomal RNA". It matches the Rfam family "Bacterial small subunit ribosomal RNA", at positions 524 to 776 of the family's 1533-position model. The record is from RNAcentral.